CGCACAUUGCGCCCCCUGGUAUUCCGGGGGGCAUGCCUGUCCGAGCGUCAUUUCACCAAUCGAGCCCCGCUCGGUGUUGGGCGGCCGGCUUCCGCGAGGAGGCCCGCCCCGAAACCAUCGGCGAGGGGACCGACCCCCGGCGUUUUGAGGAUUCCCCCGGGAAAUUCGCACGUCGGGAGCACCGGCCCGCUCCGCCGCAGAACCUUUCUUUUUGAAUCAUCAAGGUUGACCUCGGAUCAGGUAGGGAUACCCGCUGAACUUAA
Molecule: unclassified non-coding RNA, 263 nt
Filed under: Zasmidium lonicericola
Lineage: Eukaryota; Fungi; Ascomycota; Dothideomycetes; Mycosphaerellales; Mycosphaerellaceae
Description: partial contains 5.8S ribosomal RNA, internal transcribed spacer 2, and large subunit ribosomal RNA
Source: RNAcentral